This is a long non-coding RNA of Neopsephotus bourkii (Bourke's parrot), 785 nucleotides long. RefSeq lists it as uncharacterized. NCBI's taxonomy places the organism in Eukaryota, Metazoa, Chordata, Aves, Psittaciformes, Psittacidae. The transcript is spliced from 3 exons. The record is from RefSeq and is a predicted model, not a curated record.
UGGAACAUUUCAGGAUGGAUGGGGAAGAUGAGUCCUGUUCCUCACUGAAACUGUCCAGAGUCUCUUACCUCUGUCCACGUCACACGAUGUGUUUGGACAGCUAGGUGAAUGGCUGGAUGUGUUAUCCAAACACUGAGUAAUGCUUGUCACCGCUCUGCUGUGACACUGACCAGUCAACACGGCUUCCCCUGGGCAUCAGCCACAUGUGAUGGAGGCAGAGAAGAACGAAUCUGCCUGAAUAAUGCCCACGGACAAUUCAUGUUGCUUCUUUGCUGCUGUCUGGACUGUCUUUUCCAUGUAGUCUCCUUCUUCAGUCCUUACUCCUGCCUGUUGCUUCUUGCUCUGGAGUCAAGGCCAUGAGUUGUUUUAAUGGGCGAUUUCACAACAGGAGAAAGCAGCUCCCUUUUCUUCUGGAAAAGCAUGUCAGAACUGCUGGUUUUGCUUUGGACUGCAAGAUGUUUGGAAAGCCACAUGCUUUUUCUGAAGCCGGUUCCAUCCCCUCCGUGCCAGCCUCAGCUGCUGUGUUUGCUUACGCCCAGAAUGCCGGAUCCUGUCCGCAAUGAGAUAGAGCAGAGGAGAAUGUCAGCUCAAGACUGACCAAACAGCACUGGAUUUCAUGUAAUCAUGGCCAAAUUCUUCCUGGCAGUCACUUGUACAGCCUUCCCGAACCAAUGGGGAAAGUCCUGAACCACAUAAUCUGAUCUCCCCAGCUAGAACUUCUCCUGGAUGACCUGUCCUGCUCAAAGCAGUUCUGCAGGCAGGAGAGAAGAUGCAUGGUACAGGAG